GUAGGUGAACCUGCGGAAGGAUCAUUAACAAAUCAUAUUUGGUGGUUUUGGUAGAUUUUUCUCAUUUGAAGAAUUUAUCAAUAACAACACACAUUUGUUCUCGUGACAAGUAAAAUUGUCAUGUUAACAAACAUUUGCGCUUGUCAUUGUUUGUCAGAUUGUAUUUGUAUUGGUUAUGAAGGAAAGAUAUAGACAACUUUUAACAAUGGAUCUCUUGGCUCUU
This 223-nucleotide unclassified non-coding RNA is filed under the name rhizosphere metagenome. RNAcentral's name for it is "partial ribosomal RNA internal transcribed spacer region". The record is from RNAcentral.